RNAcentral lists this ribosomal RNA (1221 nucleotides) under Pseudosagitta lyra. RNAcentral's name for it is "SSU rRNA". It matches the Rfam family "Eukaryotic small subunit ribosomal RNA", at positions 491 to 1636 of the family's 1831-position model. The record is from RNAcentral. Lineage: Eukaryota; Metazoa; Chaetognatha; Sagittoidea; Aphragmophora; Sagittidae.
CUCUGACGAGGCUCCGUAAUCGGAAUGGGCGUAGUUUAAAUCCUUCGACGAGGAUCAAGUGGAGGGCAAGUCUGGUGCCAGCAGCCGCGGUAAUUCCAGCUCCACUAGCGUAUAUUAAAGUUGCUGCAGUUAAAAAGCUCGUAGUCGGAUCUCGGGAUCGUGUCGACGUUCUCGUGGCGUCUUCUGCGGUUCGCGCCGUCGGGAGUCGUUGCGGGUCGUUGGCCCUGCCGGCGAGGUCCCCGCCUGAUGGCGGGGCUCCACCUUGCUCGUGCAGCCCGCCGUCGCGUUUGGGCGGGUGUCUUUAAUUAGAUGCCCGUUUUUUGAACGUGGCCCGUUUACCUUGAACAAAUCGGAGUGCUCAAAGCAGGCUCUACGUCGCUCGAACGGUAGCGCAUGGAAUAAUGGAAGAGGACCGGCUUCCGCUUCUGUUGGUCUCACGGAGGCAGGUAAUGAUCAAGAGGGACGGACGGGGGCGGAGGUAUGGCCUGGCGAGAGGUGAAAUUCUUGGACCCUGGCCAGACCCUCGAGAGCGAAAGCAUCCGCCAAGGAUGUUUCCAUUGAUCAAGAACGAAAGUCGCGGGAUCGAACGGGAUUAGAUACCCCGGUAGUCGCGACCGUAAACGAUGCCAACCGGGAAUUUGGCGGCGUUACUUCCAUGACCCGUCAAGCGCCCGACCCGGGAAACCGAGAGUCUUUGGGUUCCGGGGGGAGUAUGGUUGCAAAGCUGAAACUUAAAGGAAUUGACGGAAGGGCACCACCAGGAGUGGAGCCUGCGGCUUAAUUUGACUCAACACGGGGAACCUCACCCGGCCCGGACACCGCGAGGAUUGACAGACUGAGAGCUCUUUCUCGAUUCGGUGGGUGGUGGUGCAUGGCCGUUCUUAGUUGGUGGAGCGAUCUGUCUGGUUAAUUCCGAUAACGAACGAGACCCCAACCUGCUAACUAGCCCUCGGGUCCGGCUUCUGGCGGGCCCGACGGAAUGAUUCGCUUCUUAGAGGGACUCGCGGCGCCUAGCCGCACGAAGGGGGGCGAUAACAGGUCUGUGAUGCCCUUAGAUGUUCGGGGCUGCACGCGCGCUACACUGAAGGCAUCAGCGUGCGCUUUGUCCGUUCCCUGCCUGAAAAGGCUGGGUAACCCGCUGAACCGCCUUCGUGCCUGGGAUAGGGAUUUGCAAUUAUCUCCCUUGAACGAGGAAUUCCCAGUAGGCGCGAGUCAUCAGCU